UACGGGGGGGGCAAGCGUUGUUCGGAAUUACUGGGCGUAAAGGGCGCGUAGGCGGGUGGGAAAGUCUCUAGUGAAAGCCCACGGCUCAACCAUGUAAGUGCGGGAGAUACUGUCUGUCUUGAGUCCGGGAGAGGAGGGUAGAAUUCCCAGUGUAGCGGUGAAAUGCGUAGAUAUUGGGAGGAACACCGGUGGCGAAGGCGGCUCUCUGGACCGGUACUGACGCUGAGGCGCGAAAGCUAGGGGAGCAAACGGG
This 253-nucleotide ribosomal RNA is filed under the name uncultured bacterium. Its description in RNAcentral is "partial 16S ribosomal RNA". It matches the Rfam family "Bacterial small subunit ribosomal RNA", at positions 524 to 776 of the family's 1533-position model. The record is from RNAcentral.